RNAcentral lists this transfer RNA (94 nucleotides) under Cordylochernes scorpioides. RNAcentral's name for it is "tRNA-Glu". The record is from RNAcentral. Lineage: Eukaryota; Metazoa; Arthropoda; Arachnida; Pseudoscorpiones; Chernetidae.
UGUCCAAUGCGGGGAUCGAACCCGGGUCGUAGUGGUUGAAAACCAACGGUUUAGACCAUCCUUUCACCGACCCCCACAACCAUCAUGACUGGGU